AAGAGUACGUGAAACCGUUCAGGGGUAAACCUGCGAAACUCGAAUGAACGAACGGAGAGAUUCAUCGUCACUCCUCGGCGUACGGAUGCGCGCUUCGAUGUCGCCGGUAUAUCGGAUCUUUCGGGAUUCGACCCGGCGUGCACUGGUCGCGUUCGUGGACGUCCGAGGACGGCGUGCACUUCUCUCUUAGUAAUGCAUCGCGACCCGUUCGACGUCGAUCUAAGCGCCGUCCGGGAGUCCGGUCGUUCGUCGUUGUCGUAAAAAGCAACGUUCGUCCUCCGGACCGCGACGGACGCCGAUCGGCCGUCUGGACGGUAGUGUAAAUAAGGUGUGAAACGCGCACGCGUAUCAAUACGCGUCCGGCCCGACGCAAGAUAACGUCGUUCGUCGAAAUUCCUGCCCGAGUGCGGAUUUCGAUGCGGCGCGUCUGUUGUGUGGCAGCCGUGUAGUCUCGGACCGUGCGCGUCUCGUGUCUGCGAUGAUUCGGUUUCGG
This 493-nucleotide ribosomal RNA is filed under the name Sophona snellingi. RNAcentral's name for it is "partial large subunit ribosomal RNA". The record is from RNAcentral. Lineage: Eukaryota; Metazoa; Arthropoda; Insecta; Lepidoptera; Sesiidae.